Molecule: ribosomal RNA, 492 nt
Filed under: uncultured bacterium
Lineage: Bacteria
Description: partial 16S ribosomal RNA
Rfam family: Bacterial small subunit ribosomal RNA
Source: RNAcentral
AUUGAACGCUGGCGGCAUGCUUUACACAUGCAAGUCGAACGGUAACAGGCCUUCGGGUGCUGACGAGUGGCGAACGGGUGAGUAAUGCAUCGGAACGUACCCAGAGGUGGGGGAUAACGCAGCGAAAGCUGUGCUAAUACCGCAUGUGAUCUGAGGAUGAAAGCGGGGGACCGAGCAGCAAUGUUUGGCCUCGCGCCUUUGGAGCGGCCGAUGUCGGAUUAGCUAGUUGGUGGGGUAAAGGCCUACCAAGGCGACGAUCCGUAGCUGGUCUGAGAGGACGACCAGCCACACUGGGACUGAGACACGGCCCAGACUACUACGGGAGGCAGCAAUGGGGAAUUUUGGACAAUGGGCACAAGCCUGAUCCAGCAAUGCCGCGUGCGGGAAGAAGGCCUUCGGGUUGUAAACCGCUUUUGGCAGGAACGAAACGGUGUCCGCUAAUACCGGGCGCUAAUGACGGUACCUGCAGAAUAAGCACCGGCUAACUACGUG